CUGGCCCGGGUCUCCGCACGACCCCCUUCUUUCGCCGCCGCCGCCUCCUCUCCUCCGUCACACCCCCUGCUCCGAGCCCCUCCGCAAGACCUGGCCCGAGGUCUCCGCACAACCCUCCCCUGCUGUGAGCCGCCGCCGGCCUACUCCUCUUCGUCUCUCCUCGUCAGUUGUCGUGCAACGGCCGGCUGCAGGGUGGCCUCGCUGGAAGAGAGCACCGAUGGCCGUGGAUCUCGCCUGGGACAACGAGGACCAGGUCGCCCUGCUCCUACAGUCCUAGCACAACGUUGCACUGCCCCGCCCCACGACGCCGUCUGUGUCGAUCUGAAGCCCGCCGUGGACGGGGACGAGCAGAGAGUGGAGAUGGGCCACGGCGGCGACGAGGGGGAGGCGGCACGAUAGAGUCAUGGCGGCCAGCCCCCUGACGGAGGAGGUGGUAGAGUUGACGGAGACGCACACCAAGGAGGACCUCGCCGCCUACCUCGCAUCUAGGUGUAAGCCCAAGGAGAACCGGAGUGUUUCGGACUGGAUUCGGUCAUCACCAUCAGCCGCCGCAUCACGUCAAUGUCCAUCUUGGCGACACCAAGGGCUCGUGUCCGUCGCCACGGAAGCCGCUAAUCCAGCCACCGGCUCGCCGGUGCCACCCCACCCCAAGCUCUCUAUUGCAUGUCUGCUUGUCCUGGCACCAACUACUGAGUGCCGAUGGAGAUGGUGGAGGAGGACGUGGAGGAGUACAUCUAGCUGGAGGGAGGUGGUGCUGCUGCGCCUCAUCCCGGUGGUGCCCCAUGCCGCGCUGGAGCUCGAGCGCGAGACCAGGGAGCGGUGCCGCGGCAGGGACCUCCUCAUCACCGUCGACUUCAGCCCAAACUGCAGGAACUCCUUCCGCUAGGCGCUAGCGCACCUCUCGCGUCUCGCCGACACCCCCCACCUCGUCUACGCCAUUUCCAAUUGUGCCUUGAGAUUUUGCCUCUUCAUUUGCAUCUUGAUCAAGGAUAGCUUAAGAUCUUCAAUUGCACGCAGUGUUUCUUUCAGAAUGACUCUUCUAACACAACCUAUGGAAGCAAUACAGUUCUAGAUGAGGCAUUACUUCCGUUCUUUCAGAUACAACGAAUGGAUCGACGAGUGCGAGCACGUCAACACUGUCAACAUGACGAUGGUGGAUCGACUUGCAAAUGAAAUGGUUACUAUUAUGAUUGUAAUGCGUUGGUGUUAUGGAUGACACCUUCAGCCACUGUCGGAUCUGCCAUGGCCAGGUAUGCCCAUCUCCCUCGCCCUCCUCUGGAUCCCCUGCCCCACUUUGUAUUAUUGUUCUUCUCUUAUACUGUCAAAUUUCCAUGGAUGGGAUCUGAUGAAUGAGUAUCCCGGGUCUGCGGCAACUCGCAUGGCCUGAUCCGGAAGUACGGGUGUGCUGCAGGGAUUGCUUCCGCAGCAACGCCAAGGACAUUGGCUUCAUCAAGGUUUGGGUAAAUUAUUCUUCACAUGCACAACCUGCCAUAAAUGAAUUGACGGUGCGCUCCUCUUGCUCGUUGCUAGGAAAGUGGCUUGGCCACCGCCAAAUUCGUACCCUGAGUUUUUAGGUUACCAGUUGACUGAUCUUAAUCGCGUUAACAACUAUGGAAGCUUGAUUAGUGCGCUCAAUAACGCCUCAAGAGGCGCCACCAGGGGGCGCCCCAACAACUAGUAGAUAGAGAAUGUGGCCGCGGAAAGGUGAUCAACCUCUUCUUUUUAUCACUGACAGUGGGCCACCACCACCAUAUCCGUCCGCCGAGUCAGUGACCACUCCACACGUUUUCUUUUCUUUUCUUUUCUUUUUUUGUCCCAGGAGAAAGGAAAGGAGGCUGGCAAACGAAAGCAAAAUGGCGCGCACUCGCACGAUUAAUCCAUGUGUCGAAAGAAAAGGAGCCGCCGUGGCGUGCCUUUCCAAAACAGUUGAAACGGCGACGCGCUCCGCUCGGAAGCCACCCCACGUCUCCGGCCCGCCGCCGUCGCUCUCCCGCCAAAAUCGAUCCGCAAGCAAACCCAGACCCGACAACCUUGGCUGACCUCCUCUGCCACCACCCGCAUACCUACCGCUAUAUAAACCGCGGUCGCCGCGCCAAGAGACUGCAGCCAAUACGUGCAGUGCAGGUGCAGCAGAUUAACAAUUCAGCUCGUGCGUGCGUGCUCAUCCACGGCCAUG
Triticum aestivum (bread wheat) is the source of this 2176-nucleotide long non-coding RNA. RefSeq lists it as uncharacterized. The transcript is spliced from 8 exons. NCBI's taxonomy places the organism in Eukaryota, Viridiplantae, Streptophyta, Magnoliopsida, Poales, Poaceae. The record is from RefSeq and is a predicted model, not a curated record.